UGUUGGUAAAUCUCGUGCCAGCCACCGCGGUUAUACGAGAGGCCCUAGUUGAUUCUAACGGCGUAAAGAGUGGUUAAAAAUAAAUAAAACUAAAGCCAAAAACCUUCCAAGCUGUCGUACGCAUCCUGAAGAUAUGAAGCCCAAUAAACGAAAGUAGCUUUAUAAUAAAUUUGAACCCACGAAAGCUAAGAAACAAACUAGGAUUAGAUACCCCACUAU
Molecule: ribosomal RNA, 219 nt
Filed under: Microcharacidium weitzmani
Lineage: Eukaryota; Metazoa; Chordata; Actinopteri; Characiformes; Crenuchidae
Description: partial small subunit ribosomal RNA
Source: RNAcentral